Molecule: transfer RNA, 67 nt
Filed under: Bostockia porosa
Lineage: Eukaryota; Metazoa; Chordata; Actinopteri; Centrarchiformes; Percichthyidae
Description: tRNA-Ser
Source: RNAcentral
GAGAGAGGCUCGCAGCCACAAAGACUGCUAAUCUUUGUAACCUUGGUUGGACCCCAAGGCUCACUCG